UGAACCUUCGGGGAACGAUAACGGCGUCGAGCGGCGGACGGGUGAGUAAUGCCUGGGAAAUUGCCCUGAUGUGGGGGAUAACCAUUGGAAACGAUGGCUAAUACCGCAUAAUAGCUUCGGCUCAAAGAGGGGGACCUUCGGGCCUCUCGCGUCAGGAUAUGCCCAGGUGGGAUUAGCUAGUUGGUGAGGUAAGGGCUCACCAAGGCGACGAUCCCUAGCUGGUCUGAGAGGAUGAUCAGCCACACUGGAACUGAGACACGGUCCAGACUCCUACGGGAGGCAGCAGUGGGGAAUAUUGCACAAUGGGCGCAAGCCUGAUGCAGCCAUGCCGCGUGUAUGAAGAAGGCCUUCGGGUUGUAAAGUACUUUCAGCAGUGAGGAAGGUGGUGUACUUAAUACGUGCAUCAUUUGACGUUAGCUGCAGAAGAAGCACCGGCUAACUCCGUGCCAGCAGCCGCGGUAAUACGGAGGGUGCGAGCGUUAAUCGGAAUUACUGGGCGUAAAGCGCAUGCAGGUGGUUUGUUAAGUCAGAUGUGAAAGCCCGGGGCUCAACCUCGGAAUUGCAUUUGAAACUGGCAGACUAGAGUACUGUAGAGGGGGGGUAGAAUUUCAGGUGUAGCGGUGAAAUGCGUAGAGAUCUGAAGGAAUACCGGUGGCGAAGGCGGCCCCCUGGACAGAUACUGACACUCAGAUGCGAAAGCGUGGGGAGCAAACAGGAUUAGAUACCCUGGUAGUCCACGCCGUAAACGAUGUCUACUUGGGAGGUUGUGGCCUUGAGCCGUGGCUUUCGGAGCUAACGCGUUAAGUAGACCGCCUGGGGAGUACGGUCGCAAGAUUAAAACUCAAAUGAAUUGACGGGGGCCCGCACAAGCGGUGGAGCAUGUGGUUUAAUUCGAUGCAACGCGAAGAACCUUACCUACUCUUGACAUCCAUAGAACUUUCCAGAGAUGGAUUGGUGCCUUCGGGAACUAUGAGACAGGUGCUGCAUGGCUGUCGUCAGCUCGUGUUGUGAAAUGUUGGGUUAAGUCCCGCAACGAGCGCAACCCUUAUCCUUGUUUGCCAGCACUUCGGGUGGGAACUCCAGGGA
RNAcentral lists this ribosomal RNA (1086 nucleotides) under uncultured bacterium. Its description in RNAcentral is "bacterial SSU rRNA". It matches the Rfam family "Bacterial small subunit ribosomal RNA", at positions 68 to 1146 of the family's 1533-position model. The record is from RNAcentral.